This 1655-nucleotide long non-coding RNA is filed under the name Gossypium barbadense (sea-island cotton). RNAcentral describes it as "long non-coding RNA (GBAR_LNC019260)". Lineage: Eukaryota; Viridiplantae; Streptophyta; Magnoliopsida; Malvales; Malvaceae. The record is from RNAcentral.
CCUAAGCACGUGCCCUCCUCCCUUUUUUUUCCCAAUUCCAAAAUCAACCUUCAUCUCCACCAAUCCACCUCCACCGAUCCACCUCCGGUCCUCCACCCAAUUCCAAAAUCAAGCAUCAAACAACAGUGUUAGAAUUAGAGGUUAGAGGCUGUCAAUACAUUGUAAAUUCAUAUUCUGUUAAACAGGUUAGUUCUCGAAUUAUUUCCCCUAUGUAUUUGUAAAUCCUCACCUUUUCCGCAUGUUAAUUUGUUAAAUUAUUUUUCAUGUUGUUUUGCUUUUUUAUGUUUGGAUUGAUGAACUAAUUGAUCUCUGUUAUAUGACCAAUAGGGUGCUUUAAUUUUCUGCCUGUAAUUCAUAAACUGAUGUUGUUUGGAUCGUUUAUCCUGAUAAAGGAGGAACCUUUUUGGGUGGUUAGGGUUAGGGUUUGGGAUGUUUUGGUAAUUGCUGGGGAAGGAUUGGUAUUUUGAUAAGAUGAUAUAUGGUGGUUUUCUGAUUUUGAUUUUAAGACAUUGAAUCUUUAGGGGGAAUUAAAUCUGGAACAUACAAGUUAGAGCCAAAUGGGGUAAUCAAAUAUACUAUAACAUGAGCUAAAUUAUAUCAAUAUAUAGUAAACCAUAUUGUUAUACAUGAAAAUAUAUAGUAGAUAUUCGAAUAUUUGAUUUCAUCGAUUGUAACAUAAGGAACCAGAAAAUGUUUGAUCACCGGACCCAUAUGUGAAGUUGAACGGCUCUCUCUGGGUUUCAACUAAAAAGCCCCAUAGCUUUAUUCUUUCACUUAAAAAAGUAAAUUAAAAAUACUUUUUUAUUUUAUUUUGAAGGUGGUUGAUUAUUAGGCAAACAACCAUGCAAAGAAUAAGAACAUAAGUAAACAUGAAAGACAGAACAGGGAGAAUAAUAUUAAAAAUUAUUCCAUUUGAAAUGUUCAUCUUAAAAUGAUUUUUUUUCUUAAUUAUGUUUACAUUCUGAUGUAAAAAAACAUGAUAGACAAAUAAAUAAUUUAUAUGUAUGAUGAAAUUAUGCUUAAAGGUUUUACUAUUAAGGGAUUCCAUUAGUUUCCAAACAACAGUAUUAAAUUCUCAAUAUUAUAGCUAAAGAACAUGUCAGGCCAGCUCAAAGUCCUAAUCAAACAGUUCCAUUACAUAAUACUUGAGGUUAGGCAGAAAUAAAUAAAUAAACCAUAGGCUUAACCUUUUUUUUAUUCCUUAAAUAAUUAUUAUUCCUUUUCUCUUUGAUCCUUUGCAGAAGUAUCUAUUCUAUUUUUGGAAUCUGGAAACACCUAUUAAGACUCAUUACGUUCCGGCCUUCCGGGGAAACUUGUUUUUACAUUUUCCGAAAGCAACUUAUAUAUAUAUAUAUAUGUAUGUAUGUAUAUCUUUACCGUAAAAUUAUCUUGAGGUGAGUUUUGUAUUUCAAUACGAGGCUAUAGGAUUAAGGGUAGCUGAGCACAAUUAAAAGCAAAAUUGUGCUAUUCAAUUAUUAUUGGAUGAGAAUUGAUUUAUGUUUUAUAGAGCAUGAAAUUUACCGGGCUGAGAUCACAAGCUUAGUUUCUUCAUUUAAUAUCUUUUUUGUUUUUGCUUUGUUUUAUUGUAGAAACAAGCUAUUUAGCGAGACAGAAAAAAAGCAGACACAAAUGACGCAGAAAAAAACGGGCCGGGC